CUUCCCGUGAACACACACACGCACGCGCACACACGGUUCUCUUUGUGACUCUUACUUUCACCCUCUCUCGUCCGCCAAAAGAAAUCCAGAAAUCCAGAAACUUGUCCAUCAAAGGAGUGGUCGUCCUCUAUUUUCAGUGGCAGUACAAUGGCACCGGCCAGCAGCGAACCAUUCCAUCGGUCCACAGUGUCACUGGGAGCAGUAGACCGGAUCCGAGUGUGUCCACCCGACUCAUGGAGAGAGGCUCUGGCCUGAGGAGGACAGUGGGACAAAACAACAACCAUCUUCUUGAACAGCGUAUGAGCGAUGGAGUCCUACGUGGACGCUCCGUUUUCUGCUAAAGUUAACACCGUUAUAUCUACUGUAUUAUUGUUUUGGUCUGUAAUUUUUGCUGAGUUCAGCAAAAAUGUGAGAGACCAAAUAUGCUGUGUGUUUCUGUAGCCAGCACCGUCAAUCCAUUGUGAUGAAACGUCACCCACAUCCCACUGAAGCAGCGUAGUUGACUUAUUCCUGUUGAUAAUAAAAUUAAAAUCAAGAAUGUUGUGAGAAAGACUGCACAGCUAAAAGUGAAUGUUACAAGUAUCACCCGGUGAAUAAAAGGUAUCGACCAAUUACACGGCCACCAACGUCGAUCAAGAACAGAUAGAUCUAAAAGCCACUCGUCGGUCCUCUGCCAGUGCAAAUCUAUUCAAACGGUCGCACAUUUCCAUUGCUGCAUGUAUGAAUAUUCCUGAAGAUAUAAUUUAGCUUCAAUCAACGCCCACAUUCUCAGUCUUGUCACCGCCAAAUCUGCACACAUUGCUGCUGGUCCUCCUCCCGGUCCACACCUUGGACCUCGCCAUGAGACAAGAGGACUGAGACGUUCUGUCGGCCUCUCCUGCGAUCCGUCCCGCGGAAAGCUGCAGAGUUUACUGUUCAAACGCAGUACAUGAGUGCACGGAGGGGGAAAGGCGGUUCCUACUCUCGGUCGCUUGGACACUCAGCUGGCCCGGGACUUUUCCACCCCGCUGGACGCAAAGCCUUGUUAUCCUGUGAAUGAACCCGUCGAUCCCACCUGGUCGGUGUCUGCCUCCACACCCUGGGACGCCCCCGAUCAAAGGCUUCAACGUGACCAGGAACAAAUUAAGUUGCGCACAAUUUUGACUGGCAAAUGCAAAUGAUACACAGUGGAAACUCUGUGUGCUGAACUAGAGUCAUCAGAAUACAAGUGUGCUCACAAUUGCUGGAUAAUUGAGGCCCAUUUAGGUUGAGUGGAAAAGUCGUUGACGUGGUUACAGUUGGAGCAUGUUAAGAGGCAUGAAUAGAUACUAAGAAACAAGGGCCUGUGAUAUACAUCUAAAUAUAAUUGACUAAUUAUAUUAUAAUUAACUAUAUUCAUGUUAUGUGUUGCAGGCCUGAUCAUGAUAAUUAUAUCAUUAUAUUGUGAAAUUAAGUGGUGAUAAGUGCAGGAUU
Long non-coding RNA from Gasterosteus aculeatus aculeatus (three-spined stickleback), 1452 nucleotides. Lineage: Eukaryota; Metazoa; Chordata; Actinopteri; Perciformes; Gasterosteidae. The record is from Ensembl.